AUGGAAUUUAUGGGUUUCAGGCUUGAGCUACGGCCCUGUUCAUUAGCGCCGCGACCCGCUUGAGCUUUUAGGCCAAAGGGACUUCGAAGAAUUGCCCAGGCGCCACAGCGCAAGGUUUGGGCGCCAUGGCCCGUGUCGCCCAGCAGAGAGGCAUUCUACCUCUAACUUAGGGCGCGUUGCGACCCUUAAGGGGGGCUGGGCUGCGGCCCAAAUGCAUAAUUUUGGCUUUUUGAGGGUUUUUAGCUCGGGAACUUGAACGUUAAGGCUCGGGAAGAUUUCUACUACCCAAUUUGGUAGAAACCAAGGUCCCAGAGGCUAGAUUUAUGUCCCGAAGUUAUUUAUUGGAUUAGAGCUUGAUGGAUGGCUAUUGUGAAUGCGUUGUGACUAAAUUUUCAGCGAGGCUCGGGUUAGAGGAUUGUGCUCGGGAUUGCGAUGCUCAAGAAGCUCGAGACAUAGGCUGGGAACGGUGAAGGCCGAGAACGGCAGGAAGCCGAGUACAACAAGGGGUCGGGAGCAGCGCUAGCACGCAGAGUGCAAAGCCAAGUAUGGCAAGGGGCCGGGAGCAACGAUGAGCACACAGAGUGUGAGCCGUUAGGGCGAGACCCUCUUAGGAUGCUGGAGUCAUUCUCACGAUGAAGACCACAAACCCAGAGCCUGGUAAGGGCAAGGGUAAGGUCGACCAACCAUGAGUAUGGAGAGCGUGGAGCGACGAGUACAUGUUCGGCCUACCUGGCUGCCACAACCAGGGGUAUUUUUGGGAAAUGCAAUGUAUAGACUUGAAUUUGUUGCCUAGUCGACCCUAAAUGUAUUUUGAGUUGUAAAAUAUUUUCUAAACAGUAUAUUGGGAU
Humulus lupulus (European hop) is the source of this 848-nucleotide long non-coding RNA. RefSeq lists it as uncharacterized. Lineage: Eukaryota; Viridiplantae; Streptophyta; Magnoliopsida; Rosales; Cannabaceae. The record is from RefSeq and is a predicted model, not a curated record. The transcript has 3 exons.